Long non-coding RNA from Saccostrea echinata, 456 nucleotides. RefSeq lists it as uncharacterized. The record is from RefSeq and is a predicted model, not a curated record. NCBI's taxonomy places the organism in Eukaryota, Metazoa, Mollusca, Bivalvia, Ostreida, Ostreidae. The transcript has 3 exons.
UCUCGGCACAUUGGAAAAUCAUGGAAUAACCAAACAAAAUAAAGAAGGUUACUUACGGAAAGCGUUUGUAAAAUUUAGCAAAUUUCAGCUCAAGUUAAUUUAUAGAACGAUGGAGAUUUAAAAUAUGAGAUGCAUUACAAGGUACAGAAUUUGUGAUCGAAAUGUGUAAAUUUGCCGAGACAUAAAUAACAAGAACAGGAAUCAUUGAUUGCGAGAAAACCGUAGAAGAUUCUAGGAAACUGAUAUCGAUUGCAACCCGAAUUAUCUCGGAACUAAAUCGACUCUGAAGUUAGAAGACGAAGGCGCAGAAAUAAUCAUCAUGAGCGAGAUGUCUGACCAUGAAGAGUCUGUGCUGGACCAUUUGAUGAGUAACAUGACAACAUUUAAGAAACAAAGAACCCCAACUGCCAAAAAGAUACAUAAAAUUUAGUGAUGAGGAUUUUUCUGAUAAUGAAG